UACGUAGGGUGCGAGCGUUGUCCGGAAUUACUGGGCGUAAAGAGCUCGUAGGUGGUUUGUCGCGUUGUCCGUGAAAACUCACAGCUUAACUGCGAGCCUGCGGUCGAUACGGGCAGGCUAGAGUUCGGUAGGGGAGACUGGAAUUCCUGGUGUAGCGGUGAAAUGCGCAGAUAUCAGGAGGAACACCGAUGGCGAAGGCAGGUCUCUGGGCCGAUACUGACGCUGAGGAGCGAAAGCGUGGGGAGCGAACAGG
Molecule: ribosomal RNA, 253 nt
Filed under: uncultured bacterium
Lineage: Bacteria
Description: partial 16S ribosomal RNA
Rfam family: Bacterial small subunit ribosomal RNA
Source: RNAcentral